UACGUAGGGUCCGAGCGUUGUCCGGAAUUAUUGGGCGUAAAGAGCGCGUAGGCGGCGUGUCGCGUCUGCUGUGAAAUUCCACGGCUUAACCGUGGGCGUGCAGUGGAUACGGGCAUGCUUGCGGAAGGUAGGGGAGACUGGAAUUCCUGGUGUAGCGGUGAAAUGCGCAGAUAUCAGGAGGAACACCGGUGGCGAAGGCGGGUCUCUGGGCCUUUCCUGACGCUGAGGAGCGAAAGCGUGGGUAGCGAACAGG
Molecule: unclassified non-coding RNA, 253 nt
Filed under: uncultured Streptosporangiales bacterium
Lineage: Bacteria; Bacillati; Actinomycetota; Actinomycetes; Streptosporangiales
Description: contains 16S-23S intergenic spacer region
Rfam family: Bacterial small subunit ribosomal RNA
Source: RNAcentral